UCUCUCCGAAUAUCUGUACUCACCUUUAUUCUUGUGAGGAUGUGCGAUGAUGUAACACCUACGUGAUGAGAUGGAACGAGAGGGAUGAUGCAGGAGCCGUGACCUAGCCUCCUGUUGACCUUCCGACAAUGGGUCACAAGGAGGAUCAUCUGCUUCUGGACCUCAGUCGGCUGCGGGGAACUGAACCUCAGAUAAAGGGGGUGCUGCGUUCACAUCUCAAACCAGUAUGGCACAUUGCUUGUAGUCAGUGCAUUGAUAUCGAUGCCCUAUUGUCAACCAAGUCCACAUUUUAUUCAGAUUGUCUUAGGUUCUAAUGUCCCUUCUCUGUUCCAGGCUUCUAUCCAGGGUACCACGUUAUAGUCAGUCACGUCUCCUGACGCUCCUCUCGGCCAUUCCUCAGACUGUCCUCGUUUUUUGAUGUCCUUAGCAGUUUUCAGGAUGCCCUACUAUUGGAACCGGUUUUUCUCGAUUCUUUACCUCAAUCCCCGGGAUUCGUGGUCUCGCUGCUUCGAAGAACGAAAAGAUGGAGACAAAUGAGCAGCAGGCAGAAAUUUAUUCGAGUGUAAGAUCAGAGAGUAAGAAUACCAUGAAAGCUCUCCUUGCAGAGAGGGGAUAUUUGAAAGAGAAUGCCCGUGACUAUAGGCAAGGAUCCUUGUUUUAUAAGGUUCUGGUCCCCACCCCCCUCCCUCUCCCCCUUGCUGCUUCUCAGGUUUUUUACCCUUACUGGCUUGAUAACUCUAGUCCUGGAUUGUCCAUUCCUGAUUGGCUUGAUUCCAUCACAAGGGGUGACCUAUGACCAUAUCAUUCCUUGUGGGUCAUACAUUUCAUGGUCUUCUACUUAUUUUGUUGUCGGGUCUUUGAUUGCCCAAUGCCUGAGGGGAUCCUGAGGGGGAGUAGGUGGUAUCUAUUACACUCAGGAGGAACCUUAGGCCGGAGGGGGUUUGCUGUGGUCAGACACUCCCAGCAUUGUUUCAAAAUAUGUGUUUUUCCCCACUGGGGACCGCAGGUGCUAAUCUUUCCCUCUCGGACUGUUUUAUCCUAUCUUUUCCUAUCAAACUAACUUACAUACCCAUCACAAAACAGAGUGUCGUCAUACCCAUUUUAUGGAUGGAGAAACUGAGGCUUGGAGACCUUUUGCAACUUACUCGAAGCUCAGGGGUCAGAUGUAAGCGAGAGUAGCCUGGCUCCCUGGCUUGUUCUCCCCCAUAACUCAUGCUCGCUCUCCACAUCUUCUAUGACUGCACGUACUUCUCCUGCAGGGACUGGGAGAGCUUAACGUGAGCCCUGAGGACAGGAGCCAGCAUCUGGGGGGACCCGUCCCUAAGUCCUAGCGCUGUUGUCUCUGGUGAUACAUUUCCCUCUGGGCUCUGGCUCCAGCUCCUGAUGGAGUUCUCCAUGACCAUUCAUUUCGUAACAUCUCCCCACCUGCCUGCCAAUUCAUUUCCUGGGCUGAUCGCACAGAAAUCAAUGGGGCCAGGAUGGAACUCGGCCUGCAGAAAGCCUGUCCGUGUCUAAGGGCAGCGCAGGGCAGAGGGGAGACCACUGCCACCAGAAUUAAAAGCAGAAGAUGCAGAUCAGCACAGAAUGCACGCCCAGCAGCAUGCUGGGGGGAGAGGAAAGUGAGAAGUUGGGGCGCCUGGGUGGCUCCAUUGGCUGAGCGAUCGACUCUUGAUUUCGGCUCAGGUCACCAUCCCAGAGUCGUGGCUGGAGCCCCGUGUCAGGGCUCCGCACUGAGUGUGGAGUCUGCUUGGAAUUCUCUCUCUCCCUCUCUCUCUGCCCCUCACCCACUAGCACGUGCUAAACAAGCAAGCAAACAAACAAACAAACUGAAGUGGCCCCUGCCCUCAAGGAUCACGGUGUCUGGAUACACAUUCAGAGACGCGGUACGAGGCUCCCCCAGAACAUUGCUCUUCGUGCACCGGGCGAAGCUCUCCGGUCCUUGCUGCUAACAGUCGUAAUGAGCGCGAGAAAACCCAGCCACUACGCUAAUAAAAUGUAAUGCUCAAAUCCAGCAAUAAAAUCGCCUAUUCAUAUGCA
Long non-coding RNA from Neofelis nebulosa (Clouded leopard), 2037 nucleotides. RefSeq lists it as uncharacterized. The transcript is spliced from 2 exons. NCBI's taxonomy places the organism in Eukaryota, Metazoa, Chordata, Mammalia, Carnivora, Felidae. The record is from RefSeq and is a predicted model, not a curated record.